Small nucleolar RNA from Lactuca sativa (garden lettuce), 107 nucleotides. Lineage: Eukaryota; Viridiplantae; Streptophyta; Magnoliopsida; Asterales; Asteraceae. The record is from RefSeq and is a predicted model, not a curated record.
AAGUCAUUUUGGGGGCAAUUCCUUAUCAAUCCUUUGUAGUGUUCCCAUGCUUCGUAUAGUAACUCCCCAGGUUGUUGCUUAAAAUUUUCUAUGGCUUUCUUUAGUUU